AGAACGUUGUAUUUUAGGCUGAGCCACGGAUCAGAUAAGUGGCAACAGCACACCCCCGUCGCUCUACCCCCAACUCCCUUCCCCUCCUUCUCCGAUACUGCGGCGGCGGCGGCGGCGGCUUUCGGUCUGCACCGGCGACUAUGGAAUGGAAGAUGCAGGGUUGGAGUUUUUGCUCGGUGCCGUUGACAGGUUCCCCACUUCGGUAGGAGUUCGCUGACAGCCUUGAGCACCCAGAUCCGGCUCCUUUGGCCCUGUUGCCGGCUAGGCAGGCCAGCCCUGCCGUCCCGGCGGACUGAAACGCUGGGUCUGGGUGCGGGCAACAAGUUGGCUGCGGUGCCCGGAGAUACCACAGGGAGGGUGGGGGGUUACUCCGGCGUCUGGAUGCAUCCCCGACUAGGUCUGCCCUGUCAACCGAGGCCCCGGGAUGGACAAAGAGGUUGCCCCUCGGUAGUGCACCACCCAACCGGACGCCAUGUCCCUCUAGGCUGGGUGCACUGGGGCAGUCGAUUCACAAGUACGCAGAGGAACCUACAAAAGUGUAAUAAGACCUGAACUUGGCCUAAGUUUCAAUUCAUUAGGCGAGGCUAUAUGACUUCUACAAUCUGUAUUCUUGAGAAAUCGGUUUGGGAAUUAGGUAUGGCAAGAUCAGACUGAACGCCAGGAGGACAAAGUUUAAUGCAGGAGAUCCUUUGCGGGUGCUCUAUGCGCUCCGAUUUUUGCAACCAUCCCAAUUUGCCAUUUGUGUAGAUCCGCCACUGGUCAAUGGUUAGUGCAUGGAGCACGACUGAUCCGCCGGCGCAAGGAGGGGAAGACUAGUAUAGGAUCUCACAUUAGGUGAGAUCAAUGAGACGGACACCCCUGCACAAGGAGGCCAAGGGGGAGGUGAUAUGACAGGAAUUCCGUCUCGCUAUGCAUCCCUGGAAGAAGGUUUCAGUGAGCAUAAUCCAAGCACCGGAGUGUUGGCUGACGAAGAUGAUGGCGACUCGGAUGUGCACGACGGAUCUGACAUAAUGUAUGCUAUCGAGGAAGUUGAAUCCGCCGAGGAAAAUGAUAGCAGCAGAGGAGCAACGCGACGGCGUACGCAAGUGCAGGCAGCAUUUCUCAAGGGAAGUGGAAGUGAUGUCAACGCCCACCCAUGUCAAUCUUGCUAAGCUCCUCUACUAUUGCCGGGAUGGAGAGGAGUGGAUACUAGUCUACGAGUGGAUGGAGAAAAAAAGUUUGAAUCUUUACAUAUUUGGAGAAGACGGACUCCGCUCCUCACUGAGUUGGGCACAAAGACGGGAAAUAAUUCGAGGUGUCGCCGUAGGUGUUGAAUUUCUUCACGGCAGAGGAUUCAUUCACAGGGAUCUAAAACCUGCCAACAUACUGGUCAGUGACGUGGGUUCCAAAGAUAGCGGACUUCGCCACCGCGAAGCUGUUUAUUGAUGAGCAGACAGACCUGACAUUAGUACAGACGCGGGGAUAUGUCGCUCCUGAGUACAUAGGGGAAGGGGCCCUGACGUACAAGCGUGAUGUAUAUAGCUUCGGAGUCGUCUUGCUGGAGAUGUUCAGUGGCAAAAGGAGAACAAGCAAUGCAACGUUCCUUCCUGAUGUAAGUCUGCUCAUGACAAAACAUACUCCUCCCUGAUGCAUCCUCUGGUUUCUUCUCAGUGAAAAUGGGCGCCACUAGCUGAGCUUUUUAUUCUUUCUUUCUUACACGCCUGGGAAUUGUGGAAUCAACGUAAGAGCGGGGAGCUUCUUGAUUUGGCGGUGGGUGGUGAACCUGAAGGUGAAGUCUUGUCGGGGCUACUCAGAUGCAUCCAGAUUGGCCUUCUCUGUGUGCAGUAUUUGCCAGAGCACGGGCCUUCAAUGUCUGAAGUUGUGGCAAUGCUAAACACCAGCUCACAACUCCCCAGGCCACUGAAACCCACACCAAAUAGCGGACCAGGACCGGGCGCACAGCCCGGACCGAGCCGGACCUUCUUAACGUGGCUAUUUUGCUCACGCGGAUGUGACCCCGCGAGUCCAGGCACGGAAGCUACAGUGUAGUGCUUCGGUGUAUCAGGGUGAGGUAGUGGCAGUGCAAGAGGAAUAAGCCUAAACUUGCUACCGGUCCGGAUCCGGGACUUGCGGCAUGAUUUUGAUGUUUAUUUGUGUACUUUAACACCGGAUGUCGCCGUUGUUUUCCUAUCUGAA
This is a long non-coding RNA of Triticum aestivum (bread wheat), 2175 nucleotides long. RefSeq lists it as uncharacterized. NCBI's taxonomy places the organism in Eukaryota, Viridiplantae, Streptophyta, Magnoliopsida, Poales, Poaceae. The transcript is spliced from 8 exons. The record is from RefSeq and is a predicted model, not a curated record.